AACGAACGCUGGCGGCAUGCCUAACACAUGCAAGUCGAACGAGACCUUCGGGUCUAGUGGCGCACGGGUGCGUAACGCGUGGGAACCUGCCCUUAGGUUCGGAAUAACUCCCCGAAAGGGGUGCUAAUACCGGAUAAUGUCUUCGGACCAAAGAUUUAUCGCCUUUGGUUGGGCCCGCGUUGGAUUAGCUAGUUGGUAGGGUAAAAGCCUACCAAGGCGACGAUCCAUAGCUGGUCUGAGAGGAUGAUCAGCCACACUGAGACUGAGACACGGCCCAGACUCCUACGGGAGGCAGCAGUGGGGAAUAUUGGAACAUGGGCGAAAGCCUGAUCGAGCAAUGCCGCGUGAGUGAUGAAGGCCUUAGGGUUGAAAAGCUCUUUUACCCGGGAUGAUAAUGACGGUACCGGGAGAAUAAGCGCCGGCUAACUCCGUG
RNAcentral lists this ribosomal RNA (433 nucleotides) under uncultured bacterium. Its description in RNAcentral is "partial 16S ribosomal RNA". It matches the Rfam family "Bacterial small subunit ribosomal RNA", at positions 29 to 507 of the family's 1533-position model. The record is from RNAcentral.